AAACUUUUAGUUUAAACCAUCUUUGCUCUGUAUUAAACUUUAAUCCUGCCCCGUGUCGUAGGUGUCCAAAUGAAGUGGCUGCGGCCGGCAGGUUUAUGUGUACUGUAAAUGUAUGUACACAUUCAUGUGGAAAGUGGCUAGUUGCAAGCGCAAACCAAUUAGGCUGAUUCCAUGUCAUAUCAGAACAAUUCGGUCUGGGAACUAGACAAAUGGUCAUGAGCUCUAGCUAGCGACUGCUGUACCUGUCGCUGGUUACUUACGUAAUUAGUAUUAAAAAGCGUUUGGUUAUUGCCCAGCGGCGGGUACCAAUACAUUACGUACAGUCAUGUUUUGCACGGCGUCACACGUACAGCACGGCGGCCACUGUAUCAAUGGAGCCUGCCUCUUUUCAGCGCUGGGAGAAAUACCAAUUACCUGUCUUGGCUUCAUCCAAGUCAACACUGUCUGUGACAGACAGACAAUAUCAUGGAAAUUCCUCUGAACAAGAAGUGCAGUGUUUUUUUCACCGCAGAGGGAGUGGAAGAAAAAGGCAGCCUGAUGGUGCUGUACAUGUACCUCAAGAUGUAGCCACUCAAGACCUUCCUCAUCUGUAGUGCACUGACAGCAGUUUGGAAUGAAGACAGCAGUGAUCCUUAAUAGCACUCUACUAGACAUACGCUACACCAUUUCCUAGAUAACACUACGGUCGAAGACUACACAGCUUUCUGGUGUGUAGUGUACAUUCCUUCCAUACUGCAACUUGAAUUAUUGGCCACUUUGCCUGGACCCGUCUCAGCCAUCUGGAAAACCUCCAGACACUCCUUGCGCAACUCUCACUAACUGGUCCAUGGUGUCUCUGUUGUGGGUGCUCAUCGCCUUUCCCCUACCCAUGGAUUCCACCAGGCCUAUCCAUGAGUUGCCUAUCAUCUGCAUGGACUUGUCAUCCUCUCUUCUGUGUGUGUACGGCCUCCCCAUGCUACAGACUGCUUCCAGCAUGAUCUAUGGAGCUGGUUCCCUAGGUUAGGAUACAAAUCAGCAACAUGAUAGCCCCAGCUGAAUUGCACUGAGCAGAUUGAGAAGAUCAAUUCAUACUAUUUAGCUAGGAAGGAUAACACCACGGUGACCUCUCAGGCACAACCUAGUAUUACCCUCAGCUGCCAAGUGGGAUUCCACCU
Molecule: long non-coding RNA, 1154 nt
Organism: Acanthaster planci (crown-of-thorns starfish)
Lineage: Eukaryota; Metazoa; Echinodermata; Asteroidea; Valvatida; Acanthasteridae
Source: RefSeq, a predicted model, not a curated record